Molecule: ribosomal RNA, 522 nt
Filed under: uncultured bacterium
Lineage: Bacteria
Description: bacterial SSU rRNA
Rfam family: Bacterial small subunit ribosomal RNA
Source: RNAcentral
AUGGACGAAAGUCUGACGGAGCAACGCCGCGUGAGUGAAGAAGGUUUUCGGAUCGUAAAACUCUGUUUUCAGGGACGAAUGUGCAAUAUGUGAAUAAUGUGUUGUAAUGACGGUACCUGACAAGAAAGCCACGGCUAACUACGUGCCAGCAGCCGCGGUAAUACGUAGGUGGCAAGCGUUGUCCGGAAUUAUUGGGCGUAAAGCGCGCGCAGGUGGGAUAAUAAGUCUGAUGUUAAAGUUCGGGGCUCAACCCCGUGAAGCAUUGGAAACUAUUAUUCUUGAGUGCAGGAGAGGAAAGUGGAAUUCCUAGUGUAGCGGUGAAAUGCGUAGAUAUUAGGAGGAACACCAGUGGCGAAGGCGACUUUCUGGACUGUGUCUGACACUGAGGCGCGAAAGCCAGGGUAGUGAACGGGAUUAGAUACCCCGGUAAUCCUGGCCGCAAACGAUGGGUACUAGGUGUUGGGGGUAUCGACCCCUCCAGUGCCGGAGUUAACGCAAUAAGUACCCCGCCUGGGGAGUACG